UAGUUGCUUAAGUGAAGUAGAAUUUCCCUUUUCCUCGAUGGUUCCAAUGAAUUCUCACAAGUCUGAACACCAGUCUGUUUCCCCUGUGCCUCCACCUUUCUUCUGUCUAAGGAAGCUACUUUUCUCAAAUUUGACAUUUGAUGGCAACACUACCAAGAAUUUCCUAGGACUAUAAUGAGAAAGUACUAAGAUGAAGUAUGAAAUAACAUGGACAUUUCUGCUCUGCUCAAGGCUGUCAAAAUGUGGGAAUUGUUUUGUUCAUAUGUUCUCUUCCUGAGGUGGGUGCAGCAUUGAUUUUUGAAGAAAACUCUGGGCUUUCUUAGAAGUAACCCCUCUCGGCCUGCCUUCCUGUGGAGGUGUGCUUUAUGUUAUAAAUGCUCCUUACUUUACAUUUAUAAUUCAACACAUUUGCCUCCACUGACCUGUGAAAAAUAUCUAAAACUGGAUACAUUUGAAAUGUCAAAGCUUCAUUUGACUCUGAUUUGACCCACAAAAUACUUUCUCCUAAGUCAAAUACAAGUCCGAGUGUGUGAAGCCUAAGAAAUCUUUUCUUUGUCCCAGGAAUUUGUAGUUAUUUUCAACAUGGAUAUCUUCAGUUCCUUAUAGGAAGAGUUUUCCCCUGCUACAAGGUCUGAGCAUUAUUCACAUAGCCAAGAUAUGGAAACAACCUAAGUAUCCAUCUAGAGAUGAAUGGAUAAAGAAGAUGUAGUAUGUAUGUAAUGAAAUAUGAUUCCGUCAUAAGAAAGAAGGAAACCCUGUGGUCUGUGACAACAUGGAUGAAACUAAGUGAAAUAAGUGAAAGAAAGAUAAAUACUUAUGACUGUCACUUAUAUAUGGAACCAAAACAACAACAACAACAACAACAACAACAACAACAACAAGAAAAAGCGAACUCAAAGAAACUGACAAUUCCAAAUCUCUUGAGAUAGAAAAGACCUCUGAGGACAAAAGGAAACAGCACCAGAACACCUGCUAGCAUGACCUCAUGGGCCUCCUAUUAAUGGUAUCCACCUUCUCAGGAGACCCCUGCCCCAAAUUUUGCCCUUGAAAACCCUCACUUGCCAGCCAUCCAGGAGUUCAGGGCUUUUUAAGCAUUAGCUCCUUGUUUUCCCGAGCGGCCCACACCAAUAAAUAACCUAUCUUUCUUCA
Molecule: long non-coding RNA, 1149 nt
Organism: Felis catus (domestic cat)
Lineage: Eukaryota; Metazoa; Chordata; Mammalia; Carnivora; Felidae
Exons: 6
Source: RefSeq, a predicted model, not a curated record